Anopheles stephensi (Asian malaria mosquito) is the source of this 195-nucleotide non-coding RNA. The record is from Rfam. NCBI's taxonomy places the organism in Eukaryota, Metazoa, Arthropoda, Insecta, Diptera, Culicidae.
AGAUCUAAUGGCUCUGUUAAUGGGGUAGGAUCCGAGACUCCUUUCGGGGUUACACAGGCUCUCCUACCCAUCCCCUAUUCUGUCACGUCCUCGUCGUACAGAGUGUUAACUUUCCCCACCACAUAUCCAAGCUUGGGUACACGGGUCUGUCUCAACCCCUUGGGCGGAUGGUGGAGCUAGGCUAAACAGGAGGGG